ACUCGUGGUUUAUUUAGAUGGCUUGGCUAGCACACUAUUUUGGCGGGACUUAUCAAACUUUUUGAGCUCGUCGGACAUUGUAAGCGAGCGUCGCAGGCAGUGGGCGGUGUACUCGGGGUGAUGGAACCAAUCCGGAUCAGGUGGGGCGAGAUGGACAGGGUACGAGGCGACAUCCACGUGGUGGUUUUUGGACUCGGGUAUUGGCUGUUGCUGAUGAGAAGUCGGUGAGUGAUGGCCCGCAGACUUAUCGUUGGCAUAUACUGGGCGCCAACAUGAAUCUCUCGACGGCUUGGUACGGCUGCUUGCGGCGGUAAUGACGACCUUGCGAUUGCCGUGACCGCAGAAACGCUCCCCCUGAGUGAUAAACGGGCAGGACGUUCCCAGUAGAGCAGCGACCGGCGAGGUAUCGGCCGGCCAGUGGCGCUAUCGUCUUCAGGAAACCAGUCCGUCCGAAGACCGCCCAGAAGUAGCGACCGGUGGAACCAACACGGAGAAAAACGAAAAUACUAGUUAGUGUACGAUAUAUUAUUUUCUCAAAAUAAUAUUCUUUUAAUCUUUGAGAAGCUUAUUAUGUUAUACCUUGCCAAGCUUAUCCGUGAUUUAUUUUUUGUGGUGCUUAUGUAGUGAAACACGCUACCCUUGGGACUUUUCAAAAUUUAAUUUCAUUUUGUUCGGUUCGGAAUCAGAAUCACAUCGUGUUCCUAAGUAUAUCCUCGAAAAAUACGAGUUCAAGCAAUUUAUUUUACAUUCGAGUGUUCAAAACCAGCAUUCUAUGUCGCAAGUGAAGCCCAUAAAGAAAAACCAGAAUGUGGAGAAAAUAAAUGCUCGCAGCGGAUCAGCACUCAGCUCUUAUCAGAGACGCCAUCCUCAAAGGACAUUUGUCGCAGGAAAUUUGCCGCAGGAAGAGAUUUUAAGCUCAUAAUGGGGUGAAAUAUGGAAUUACGAUCAUGAAGAUUAUUUUGUAAAAGAGCUCCAUUCCGGUCGCCGUAAUCAAGUCGGAAACAACUGCGAUUUUGAUCGAAGCGGAACAAGAUGGAAGAACCAUGAGUUGCAGAGACACAUUCACCAAGAUAUAAUUUAUAUGGAAAUCAAUAAGUUGCAUGCGAAAAUCGUUUUUCGCAUGUGCAACAAUGAUCUACUAAAUUGUGUAAACAGUCAAAAUGAAUCAUUCUCUAGAAGACACUAGAUUUCUAUAGAUCAAGGAAAAGCAGUUAUAACCAUUUAAGUGCAAAAAUGAGUCAUUUUUGGGGUCCGUGUAUUUAUUCGGGUGGCAGAUGGUGGCAAAUGAAACCUAGUAGGAUUCAUAAUAUUGUGCAUUCAGAUUAACUUUAGACCGAAG
Long non-coding RNA from Aedes aegypti (yellow fever mosquito), 1339 nucleotides. RefSeq lists it as uncharacterized. NCBI's taxonomy places the organism in Eukaryota, Metazoa, Arthropoda, Insecta, Diptera, Culicidae. The transcript has 2 exons. The record is from RefSeq and is a predicted model, not a curated record.